This 253-nucleotide ribosomal RNA is filed under the name uncultured bacterium. RNAcentral describes it as "partial 16S ribosomal RNA". It matches the Rfam family "Bacterial small subunit ribosomal RNA", at positions 524 to 776 of the family's 1533-position model. The record is from RNAcentral.
UACGGGGGGGGCAAGCGUUGUUCGGAAUUACUGGGCGUAAAGGGCUCGUAGGUGGCCAACUAAGUCAGACGUGAAAUCCCUCGGCUUAACCGGGGAACUGCGUCUGAUACUGGAUGGCUUGAGUUCGGGAGAGGGAUGCGGAAUUCCAGGUGUAGCGGUGAAAUGCGUAGAUAUCUGGAGGAACACCGGUGGCGAAGGCGGCGACCUGGGUAGAUACUGACGCUGAGGUGCGAAAGCGUGGGGAGCAAACAGG